ACGGAAGGCAGCAGUGAGGAAUAUUGGUCAAUGGGCGGAAGCCUGAACCAGCCAAGUCGCGUGAAGGAUGAAGGUUCUAUGGAUUGUAAACUUCUUUUGCCCGAGGGUAAAGUGAGGGACGUGUCCCUUAUUGCAAGUAUCGGGUGAAUAAGCAUCGGCUAACUCCGUGUCAGCAGCCGCGGUAAUACGGAGGAUGCGAGCGUUAUCCGGAUUUAUUGGGUUUAAAGGGUGCGCAGGCGGCACGUUAAGUCAGCGGUGAAAUGUCGGGGCUCAACCCGGGCACUGCCGUUGAAACUGGCGAGCUUGAGUACGGAUGAAGUCGGCGGAAUGUGAUGUGUAGCGGUGAAAUGCUUAGAUAUGUCACAGAACACCGAUUGCGAAGGCAGCUGACUAAUCCGCAACUGACGCUCAGGCACGAAAGCGUGGGGAUCGAACAGGAUUAGAUACCCUGGUA
This 454-nucleotide ribosomal RNA is filed under the name uncultured Porphyromonadaceae bacterium. RNAcentral's name for it is "partial 16S ribosomal RNA". It matches the Rfam family "Bacterial small subunit ribosomal RNA", at positions 341 to 792 of the family's 1533-position model. The record is from RNAcentral. Lineage: Bacteria; Pseudomonadati; Bacteroidota; Bacteroidia; Bacteroidales; Porphyromonadaceae.